RNAcentral lists this ribosomal RNA (232 nucleotides) under uncultured bacterium. RNAcentral describes it as "partial 16S ribosomal RNA". It matches the Rfam family "Bacterial small subunit ribosomal RNA", at positions 57 to 305 of the family's 1533-position model. The record is from RNAcentral.
GCAAGUCGAACGGGAUUAUCUAGCUUGCUAGAUAUGAGAGUGGCGCACGGGUGAGUAACGCGUAGGAAUCUACCCUGAAGUGGGGGAUAACAGUUGGAAACGACUGCUAAUACCGCAUAAUCUCUAAGGAGGAAAGCCUUAGUGCUUUAGGAUGAGCCUGCGUUAGAUUAGUUAGUUGGUGGGGUAAUGGCCUACCAAGGCAUCGAUCUAUAGCUGGUCUGAGAGGAUAGUC